GACGAGACGACAAGUCAAGAAGCAAACAAAAUUGGUGGUACCGAAACAACAAAUUAUUACUAUUUAUAAUAAAUCUUUUUUCUUUUUGUUAUUACAAUUAAAAAAAAAAAAAACAAAAAGGUUCUCUUGGUCCCACUUGUACGUGGCCUCAAUCUUCACAUCAUGGCCCCACACGUUUCGCACGUGCAACUUUACACAUCCUCUUUUUUCUUUUUUCUUUUUUACUAUUCUUACCACACACACACACACAAAAAAAAGAUAUUAAUUUGUAAAUUGUUUCGUGCCCUUAUCAUUAAGUAUUUAAUCACCG
This 310-nucleotide long non-coding RNA is filed under the name Capsella rubella. Its description in RNAcentral is "long non-coding RNA (CRUB_LNC001448)". The record is from RNAcentral. Lineage: Eukaryota; Viridiplantae; Streptophyta; Magnoliopsida; Brassicales; Brassicaceae.